RNAcentral lists this ribosomal RNA (265 nucleotides) under uncultured prokaryote. RNAcentral describes it as "partial 16S ribosomal RNA". It matches the Rfam family "Bacterial small subunit ribosomal RNA", at positions 524 to 788 of the family's 1533-position model. The record is from RNAcentral.
UACGUAGGUGGCGAGCGUUGUCCGGAUUUACUGGGCGUAAAGGGAGCGUAGGCGGACUUUUAAGUGAGAUGUGAAAUACCCGGGCUCAACUUGGGUGCUGCAUUUCAAACUGGAAGUCUAGAGUGCAGGAGAGGAGAAUGGAAUUCCUAGUGUAGCGGUGAAAUGCGUAGAGAUUAGGAGGAACACCAGUUGCGAAGGCGGCUCUCUGGACUGUAACUGACGCUGAGGCACGAAAGCGUGGGGAGCAAACAGGAUUAGAUACCCU